RNAcentral lists this ribosomal RNA (253 nucleotides) under uncultured bacterium. RNAcentral describes it as "partial 16S ribosomal RNA". It matches the Rfam family "Bacterial small subunit ribosomal RNA", at positions 524 to 776 of the family's 1533-position model. The record is from RNAcentral.
UACGGAGGGUGCAAGCAUUAAUCGGAUUUAUUGGGCGUAAAGGGCGCGUAGGCGGGAAGAAAAGUCAGAUGUGAAAUCCCUGGGCUCAACCUAGGAACAGCAUUUGAAACUCUCUUUCUUGAGGGUAGGCGGAGAAAACGGAAUUCCACAAGUAGCGGUGAAAUGCGUAGAGAUGUGGAAGAACACCAGUGGCGAAGGCGGUUUUCUAGCUUACUCCUGACGCUGAUGCGCGAAAGCAAGGGGAUCAAACAGG